RNAcentral lists this ribosomal RNA (497 nucleotides) under uncultured bacterium. RNAcentral's name for it is "partial 16S ribosomal RNA". It matches the Rfam family "Bacterial small subunit ribosomal RNA", at positions 28 to 507 of the family's 1533-position model. The record is from RNAcentral.
GAUGAACGCUGGCGGCGUGCCUAAUACAUGCAAGUCGAGCGAACAGACGAGGAGCUUGCUCCUCUGACAUUAGCGGCGGACGGGUGAGUAACACGUGGAUAACCUACCUAUAAGACUGGGAUAACUUCGGGAAACCGGAGCUAAUACCGGAUAACAUGUUGAACCGCAUGGUUCAACAGUGAAAGACGGUUUUGCUGUCACUUAUAGAUGGAUCCGCGUCGCAUUAGCUAGUUGGUAAGGUAACGGCUUACCAAGGCAACGAUGCGUAGCCGACCUGAGAGGGUGAUCGGCCACACUGGAACUGAGACACGGUCCAGACUCCUACGGGAGGCAGCAGUAGGGAAUCUUCCGCAAUGGGCGAAAGCCUGACGGAGCAACGCCGCGUGAGUGAAGAAGGUCUUCGGAUCGUAAAACUCUGUUAUUAGGGAAGAACAAAUGUGUAAGUAACUAUGCACGUCUUGACGGUACCUAAUCAGAAAGCCACGGCUAACUACGUG